AGCUCCAAUAGCGUAUAUUUAAGUUGCUGCAGUUAAAAAGCUCGUAGUUGGAUUUCGGGUGGGAAUGGCCGGUCCGCCGUUUCGGUGUGCACUUGCUACGCCCACCUUGCUGCCGGGGACGUGCUCUUGAGUUCACGCUCGGGACACGGAGUCGGCGAGGUUACUUUGAGUAAAUUAGAGUGUUCAAAGCAGGCCUACGCUCUGAAUACAUUAGCAUGGAAUAACACGAUAGGACUCUGGCCUAUCUUGUUGGUCUGUAGGACCGGAGUAAUGAUUAAGAGGGACAGUCGGGGGCAUUCGUAUUUCAUUGUCAGAGGUGAAAUUCUUGGAUUUAUGAAAGACGAACUACUGCGAAAGCAUUUGCCAAGGAUGUUUUCAUUA
RNAcentral lists this ribosomal RNA (381 nucleotides) under Picochlorum sp. RNAcentral describes it as "partial small subunit ribosomal RNA". It matches the Rfam family "Eukaryotic small subunit ribosomal RNA", at positions 587 to 975 of the family's 1831-position model. Lineage: Eukaryota; Viridiplantae; Chlorophyta; Trebouxiophyceae. RNAcentral also lists the same sequence under 3 other names. The record is from RNAcentral.